UACGAAGGGUGCAAACGUUGCUCGGAAUUAUUGGGCGUAAAGCGCACGUAGGCGGCUCCGCAAGUCGGAUGUGAAAUCCCUCGGCUCAACCAAGGAAGUGCAUCCGAAACUGCAGAGCUUGAGUACCAAAGAGGAUCGCGGAAUUCCCGGUGUAGAGGUGAAAUUCGUAGAUAUUCGCAGGAACACCAGUGGCGAAGGCGGCUUACUGGUCCAUUACUGACGCUGAGGUGCGAAAGCGUGGGGAGCAAACAGG
Molecule: ribosomal RNA, 253 nt
Filed under: uncultured bacterium
Lineage: Bacteria
Description: partial 16S ribosomal RNA
Rfam family: Bacterial small subunit ribosomal RNA
Source: RNAcentral